AGCGUGCAGAUCUUGGCACUUGUAGAAUUCACUGAUACUUGAAUAUUUAAUCUCAGUGAAUCUAUAGUGGCAACCGCGGCACGCU
Molecule: microRNA precursor, 85 nt
Filed under: Magallana gigas (Pacific oyster)
Lineage: Eukaryota; Metazoa; Mollusca; Bivalvia; Ostreida; Ostreidae
Description: Crassostrea gigas (Pacific oyster) mir-263 microRNA precursor family
Rfam family: mir-263 microRNA precursor family
Source: Rfam by way of RNAcentral